RNAcentral lists this long non-coding RNA (9119 nucleotides) under Brassica napus (rape). RNAcentral's name for it is "long non-coding RNA (BNAP_LNC025187)". The record is from RNAcentral. Lineage: Eukaryota; Viridiplantae; Streptophyta; Magnoliopsida; Brassicales; Brassicaceae.
AAAGGUUUUCCUUGUGGUUGAAGAAACUUAUUUAUCUCUUGUAGAUGAACAUGGUGUUCUUGGAGUCGCUUCGCCUGUACGGACCAGUAUCAUAUUUCUCCAGAGAUGCAACAAAGGAUCUGACGCUAGGGCACCUAAAGAUCCCCAAGGGCACAACGAUAGUUUUCCCUCUUAUGAAGAUGCACAGCGACAAGGCCGUUUGGGGAUCAGACGCUGAUAAGUUCAACCCGCUGCGAUUUGAAAACGGCGUUUCCAGAGCCGCUAGUCACCCAAACGCUCUCCUCGCGUUCUCAAUGGGACCAAGAGCUUGCAUUGGCCAAAACUUUACAAUGAUUGAAGCCAAGGUCGUGCUCACCAUGAUCCUUCAACGGUUCAGGCUUAGCCUCUCAGGCGAGUAUAAACACGCGCCGGUGGAUCACCUCACUCUAACUCCUCAGUACGGCUUACCCGUAAUGCUUCAGCCUCUGUGAGCCUUUAUGAGCCAAAGAGUUAUCAAAUCCUAUAUCGUGCUUUAAGCCGGUUUAAAUAAAUAGUGAUGUGUGCUACUACUUAACUAAACUGCUAUGUGCUAAUUGAUACUUUUUCAGUUGCAUAAUAUAAGAUGGAUGUCUUAUAGAAGAUCUUUUGUUACUUUCAAAACAAUUUUAAUUUUAUUAAAAACUGGUCAACCAAUAUUUAUGAUUGAUUAAUUCAUCUUAAACUUAUACUAUUAAUAGUGAUUUUAACAAAUUUUUCCCAAGAUGUACAACGCUCUUAUCAUCCUUGUGUGGCAGCCAUUUGUCUUGACAAGAAGAUUCAAGAAACAAGGAAUCUCAGGACCAAGGUACAGAUUCUUGUACGGAAACAUCGACGAGAUAAACAAGAUGAAGAUAGAAUCUCACCUUUCGAUUCUUGAUCCAAACUCCAAUGACAUCUUUCCUCGUAUUUUCCCUCAUUACCAACAAUGGAUGACUCUAUACGGUGCCGUUUUCACCAUCUCAAUCUUUCUACUCAUGUGUUUUUUUUUAACUAUGCGUGACACACACGUUUGUUUAUAUGGUAUAUAUGUCACUAGGAGAUACGUUUCUUUACUGGAACGGAACAGAGCCAAUGCUAUGCAUCUCAGAUCUUGAACUCGUCAAGCAAAUCUUGUCAAACAAGUCAGGUUUCUUUGUUAAAUCAAAGAUAAGGCCAGAGUUCUUUAAACUUGUCGGCAUGAAGGGAUUUGCCUUUGUCGAAGAUGUUGACUGGGUUCGCCAUAGGAGAAUCUUGAACCCUGCUUUCUCCAUCGAUAGGCUCAAGGUCAUGACGAAAGUGAUGGUGGAGUGCACACUGAGGGUGCUGGACAAGUGGAGUAAUGUUAAAAGAGAGCAGAAAAUGGAGAUGAACAGAGAGUUUAGGAGAUUAACGGCUGAUAUUAUAGCAACCGCUGCGUUUGGAAGCAGUUACAACGAAGGAAUCGAAGUGUUUAGGACACAAGAAGAGCUUAAGAAGUGUUUUGUUACAUGUCUCACUAACUUCUACAUCCCUGGAACUCGGUAAGCACAACUCUCAGUUCAUGUUUUUUUUUGUUCUGUUCAGACAAGAUUCUCAAGUUCUUGUUUCUUGUUGUCCAAGGUACCUUCCUACGCCUUCGAAUAUUCAUAUCUGGAAGCUUAAAUAGGAAGAUGAAGAACUCAGUCAAGAAGGUUGUAGAUUCUAGACUAGCAUCAAAACAAGAUUAUGGAGACGAUCUUCUUGGAAUCAUGUUGAAAUCUUGCGAGUCAGAAAGGAACGAAAGAAAGCUGAGCAUUGAAGAGAUCAUAGAUGAAUGGAAGACAUUUUUCUUCGGGGGAUACGAAACUAACUCGAAUCUAUUGACAUGGACCACCAUGUUGCUGAGCUUGCACCAAGACUGGCAGGAGAAGCUAAGACACGAAAUCUUCGAAGAGUGCGGUAAAGACAAGACGCCAGAUUCAGACACUUUCUCCAAACUCAAACUGUUAAUAAAAUGUUUACUUGUGGUUCAAGUAAAGGUUUUCCUUGUGGUUGAAGAAACUUAUUUAUCUCUUGUAGAUGAACAUGGUGUUCUUGGAGUCGCUUCGCCUGUACGGACCAGUAUCAUAUUUCUCCAGAGAUGCAACAAAGGAUCUGACGCUAGGGCACCUAAAGAUCCCCAAGGGCACAACGAUAGUUUUCCCUCUUAUGAAGAUGCACAGCGACAAGGCCGUUUGGGGAUCAGACGCUGAUAAGUUCAACCCGCUGCGAUUUGAAAACGGCGUUUCCAGAGCCGCUAGUCACCCAAACGCUCUCCUCGCGUUCUCAAUGGGACCAAGAGCUUGCAUUGGCCAAAACUUUACAAUGAUUGAAGCCAAGGUCGUGCUCACCAUGAUCCUUCAACGGUUCAGGCUUAGCCUCUCAGGCGAGUAUAAACACGCGCCGGUGGAUCACCUCACUCUAACUCCUCAGUACGGCUUACCCGUAAUGCUUCAGCCUCUGUGAGCCUUUAUGAGCCAAAGAGUUAUCAAAUCCUAUAUCGUGCUUUAAGCCGGUUUAAAUAAAUAGUGAUGUGUGCUACUACUUAACUAAACUGCUAUGUGCUAAUUGAUACUUUUUCAGUUGCAUAAUAUAAGAUGGAUGUCUUAUAGAAGAUCUUUUGUUACUUUCAAAACAAUUUUAAUUUUAUUAAAAACUGGUCAACCAAUAUUUAUGAUUGAUUAAUUCAUCUUAAACUUAUACUAUUAAUAGUGAUUUUAACAAAUUUCUCUUCAUUCUCUUGUGCUCAGCGAAGGAACUUCCUAAGCAUACUUUUUUGGAUUAUUUUUAAAAAAAGUAAAUUUACUAAUUCUUGUGAUUUUAGCCAAAGCAUCUUACGUUAUGGAACAUAUGGAGUAUUUGCUUAUCCUGUAGAGGAGAACAAAACUAUCAAAUAUAAUUGAAAAGUAGAAUGUUUUACAUCUUUAUCAGAUAAAUCACAUGUCUGAACCAAUAGCAAGAGGUAAUAAAUAACACUAUGUUAAGUGUUCUAUCACUUGCCUAUUCCAUUUUGUUUUGGAACUCAGAUGUGUCAUAGACACGAGCAGUGUGAUCAACAGAGACCGACACAAUGAACUCGGUGUUGGCGGAAACUGAGAUGGACUGGACCGCAUCCUGGUGGCCAUGGAAGGUGUGGACGCAGUUGCCUAAUAAGCUGUCCCAAACGCUCACUGUACCAUCAGCACAGCCUGUGGCUAAGUACUUUGAGGUUCCUAUCCAACUUACGCAUGUCACACCUUCCUAUAACAAAGAAAUAGUGAAGAAGGGCUUAUUGUUUACAUUCCAAUCUCUGUUUAGUAUUCUAUCUCAUAAGAGAAAACUAAAAGAGUGAGGAUCAUACCGCGUGCUCGCAGAUGAACCUAGGAGUUGAGUGUUGCAGAUCCCAGAUUACAAGCUUCUUGUCCAUCCCACCUGUUGCAGCCAUAGGGAUAGUUGCGGAGCUUGGUGAAAACUUCACGCAUUCAACUGACUCUGUAUGAGAACUCAGAGAGCUCACAACCUGUUGUUAUGAAGUUAGACGCACACAGACAUACGCAGAGAAUUUGAUAACUGAGAUGAAGCAAUGAAAACAAACCUUUCCAGUGACUAUAUUGACAAUGUGAACAGAACCGUCUUUUGAGCCACUGAUAGCGAGACUGGAGUUGGAGUUAAUGUCCAAGCAUAUCAACCCUUCCGUAUGAUACGGAUGACCUACAUGAAAACCAAAGGUUAGCAUUCUACAGCAACAUGUAAAAACCAAUAGAGGGAGUGAGUUUAACUUGCCUUUAACCACAUGAAUGCUUUCACAAGUCUUCGGGUUCCACACAAUCAAACUACCAUCAUCAGAGCCGGUACAGAUUAGUUUACCUUCAGGAGUAAAGUCACCGCAAGUGACACUCUGAUUGUGACCAGAGAACAUAUUGAGGUAAGCCUCUUUAUCAGCAUUCCACAUCCACAUAGAACAAUCUUCUGAACCAGCCAACACAAUGUGUCCUCUCGGAUGCCACUUCACCCACUGAUUAAGAAGAUAACACAGUAAGUAUAAUCUUCUGACUUAAUUGUUAUCAAGGACAAGUUUUUCUAAUACCUCGAUGCCACUACCAGGACCGUCUAAAACACAUUUCAAAGUCCCUGAGGAUGCAUCAAAGAUCUGAACGACACCGUCCAACCCUCCAGAGGCAAGUAACUGUCCGUCGUAGCUAAAAGCUAGAGAAGAAACAGAGUCUUUGUGAGCGGGAAGCUCAGCAGCCCAAUCUCCGUUGCCGAUUUUCCAGAGGAAGGCUUUGUCAUCUCCGCCUCCGGUUGCUACAAGGGUGGGGUCUAGAGGGCUACAUGUCAAUGCAUAAAGCUCACCUGCGUAAAGAAAAUCGUUCUUAGUUUCACGAAAACAACAAACAUUGAAGUGAUAAAAGUGGUUUACCUUUGUGACCGGUGAAUGUGUGAACUGAGUCAUCGUUUUCAUCUACGGAAACAAAGCAAUAAGAACGAAGGAAGAGUCACACACAUGUUAUAAACACAAGCUACUAACACAAGAGGUGGUGAUUGAGAUAGUACCAAACACUUCAUCCUCAUUGUCGUUGUCAUUAUCAUCUUCAUCAUAUGCGUCAGGAAGAUCUGAGUUUACAUAACAAGAGUCAUACAAAAGUACAUAUGAUUCAAAAGGUUAAGACUUUAAGAAGGAGAGAGAUGAAGAUGAAGAAAAAGGAGAAACCUUCUCCGUCGACAUCGAUUUCAUGGAGGACAUCGGAUUCACCGAGGAAAACGUCUCCCUCGUCUUCUUCUUCCAUUGCUGGAUUAUUCAUAUCCCUGUUACUCAUCUUCUCCUCAGUUAUCACAGAAUCUUUUUACAACUAACACGACAAAGAAGCAGCAGCAGCGAAGAAGAAGACAGACGCGACGAGGCGGCGGACGGAGGGGGAGGGGGAGGCGUGACGUGUCACGGCGUUAGAGGAGGGAGGAGACAGAGAGUACAAAACCCUUAUUUUUGCCUCUUUUUUUCCUUACAAAACCCUUAAUAAAACCUUUUUUUUUUAUUUAUAAGAAUGAGCUUUGCGUGCCUUGUGUGUCACAGUGUAGAGAGCCCGUCCCACUCCUUUAGAAGCUACUCCGUGUCUAGCUCAGACAACGAAGGAAGAUGCUCUGUGAUCGCGAGCUGCCUCACUAGGAAGUCACUUAUUCAAGCUGCAAGGUCCAACACUUUCCCUGCAUCAUCCUCAAAGGUAACCCCACAACCCAAUUUCCAGGCAGGCGAUCUGAUGAUUACACAAGGAGCCUCGCCACGGUUAGUGCGAAGCCGUGCAGGGAGAAAAGACUGGAACUUCAACGAAAUCGAGGCAGAGCUUUAAAAAACCAAAUCUGACUCUAUUCUCUUAUAGACUAGUGUUAGUUUGUUCAUCCUUCGGGUGAUCUUAGCAGUCUAUCUUUUGAGUUCUGUUCACACGAUCUUACAUUCAUCACUUGUCAAAUUUUGUACUCUUCUCACUACUUUAUAAACCAAUAAAUCUAUAAAAUUAUCUUUCACGUUUCCGACCGUUUAGUUUGGUCUAAAUCAUACGAGCCUGAGCUGGACAUGUUAACAACAUGUCAUUUGUCAAGACAUCUAUUCGGAUUUGUGAAAGAAUGAAUGUGAAUGUUUCUUUCUUUAAUUUUUUUGAUUAUUGUUCAAAAAUAACCAAAAAUUCUAAAGUUAAAGAAAGUGGAUAGUUCAGUCUUACCAAAAUCGCCUAUAAUAUAAAAGUUACAUAAUCCCUUUUAAACAAAUUGAGAGCAAAAACCUAAUUCUUUUUCGUCAUUUUAUAAUUGAUGUUGUCUAUCUUAUUUUGAUGAUUUGUGUCAGUCGCAAAACUUAAUUUCCUUUUGUGCAUAUGAAAUUUUAAAGUAAUUAAAAUGAGAUGUAAUGUUAACUCUUCAACAACGAUGAUACAUUUAAGAGAUUAACAUUUGUAUUGGUCAUCUUACAAUCAAUAAAGAUUGUAGAGUAACAAAAUAUUAAAAUCAUUUAAUGAACAAACAUUAAUAUAAAAGCCCAUAUACACAUGCGCAUGGAUUAUCAUCUAGUUUUUUUUAUUAUUGUUCAAAAGUAACCAAGGUACUAAAGUUAAAGAAAGUGGAUAGUUAAGUCUUACCAAAAUCGCCUAUAAUAUAAAAAGUUACAUAAUCCUUUUUAAAAUGUAUGUAAAUGAAACAAUACAGAGGAAUAAGAGAGGUAACACACACUAAUAUCUUAAGAUUACAAUAUUUGCAAGAAAGGAUUAAUCAUGGUUAAAUGUGCUACUUGAUAUUUGUAUAUUGAUAUAAUGAUAUUUUGCAUAGCAGCUAAACGAGAAACAAAACUAUUGAUAGUUGAUAACUAGUAUGUUUUCACUUUUCAUCUUAUCAUAUAAUCACAAAAGCAAACUUCAACACUUACAUUACACUAUUUUUUGUAACAAAAUAAUUUCUAGAAAUAUCAUAUGAUCUGGAUAUAUUAGCAACAAAUCAUUUUCAAGACCAUCUACUCGGAUGUGCGGAAGAAAUCAUGUGAAAGCUCUUUCUUUUAAGAAAGUAACCUAGAUAUUAAAGUUAAAUAAAGUCGACAGUUAAGUCUUAACAAAUUAACUUACUAUAUAAAAAUAACAUCUACGUGUGAAUAAUUAAACGUGAAUAAUAAAGAAAAGAAAAAAACGAUUUUGUUUAUUGAUUUACUAUAUAUACAUCAAAAUGAGAAUAAUUUUACUUUCAUGAAUAAUUUUAUGAAUCUAGAAGACUUAUUCAUCUGAUGACAAAAAAAAGAAAAAAAGAAAGAAGACUUACUCAUCUUCAUACCUUUUACUAAUAUUAUGAUUACGUAACAAUAUAUGCCAUGUACAAAUUUAGAAUCCACUCUAUCAUCUUACCACAUAUAAAGCACAUUUUAUAUUUAAUUAAUUGCUUUUUUUGCUCAAAAUGAAGAAUACGUGUUCGUGCUUACUUCAUCUUUAAAAUAGAAAUCAUUGAAUUAACUACAGAUCCUCGACAAAACCUAACGAAACAUUGGCCUUAAGUCCCCAAAAAUUUUGGAAAAAAUUACAUAGAAAAACCCCCAACAAAUUUUUUUUAGGCUCCCAAGUUUACCAAAAAAAAAAAAUUUUGCUGAAAUUUUUAAAAAUCGUUUAUAGCCCCCUAAAUCUCAGGUCGUAAUAACUAGCCUCAUACUUAUUUUACAAUAUGAAGUGUAUCUAUAUAUUCAUCUCAUUCACAAUGUAAAACUUAAAAACACUACUAAACCAGCAAUUAUACACACAGAAAACACUUGUGUUGUUCUUUCAAUGGAGCUCAUAACCCUGAUGAAUCCUAUCUUAGCACUGCUUGUUUUGCUCUUUGUUGUUCCCAAGAUGUACAACGCUCUUAUCAUCCUUGUGUGGCAGCCAUUUGUCUUGACAAGAAGAUUCAAGAAACAAGGAAUCUCAGGACCAAGGUACAGAUUCUUGUACGGAAACAUCGACGAGAUAAACAAGAUGAAGAUAGAAUCUCACCUUUCGAUUCUUGAUCCAAACUCCAAUGACAUCUUUCCUCGUAUUUUCCCUCAUUACCAACAAUGGAUGACUCUAUACGGUGCCGUUUUCACCAUCUCAAUCUUUCUACUCAUGUGUUUUUUUUUAACUAUGCGUGACACACACGUUUGUUUAUAUGGUAUAUAUGUCACUAGGAGAUACGUUUCUUUACUGGAACGGAACAGAGCCAAUGCUAUGCAUCUCAGAUCUUGAACUCGUCAAGCAAAUCUUGUCAAACAAGUCAGGUUUCUUUGUUAAAUCAAAGAUAAGGCCAGAGUUCUUUAAACUUGUCGGCAUGAAGGGAUUUGCCUUUGUCGAAGAUGUUGACUGGGUUCGCCAUAGGAGAAUCUUGAACCCUGCUUUCUCCAUCGAUAGGCUCAAGGUCAUGACGAAAGUGAUGGUGGAGUGCACACUGAGGGUGCUGGACAAGUGGAGUAAUGUUAAAAGAGAGCAGAAAAUGGAGAUGAACAGAGAGUUUAGGAGAUUAACGGCUGAUAUUAUAGCAACCGCUGCGUUUGGAAGCAGUUACAACGAAGGAAUCGAAGUGUUUAGGACACAAGAAGAGCUUAAGAAGUGUUUUGUUACAUGUCUCACUAACUUCUACAUCCCUGGAACUCGGUAAGCACAACUCUCAGUUCAUGUUUUUUUUUGUUCUGUUCAGACAAGAUUCUCAAGUUCUUGUUUCUUGUUGUCCAAGGUACCUUCCUACGCCUUCGAAUAUUCAUAUCUGGAAGCUUAAAUAGGAAGAUGAAGAACUCAGUCAAGAAGGUUGUAGAUUCUAGACUAGCAUCAAAACAAGAUUAUGGAGACGAUCUUCUUGGAAUCAUGUUGAAAUCUUGCGAGUCAGAAAGGAACGAAAGAAAGCUGAGCAUUGAAGAGAUCAUAGAUGAAUGGAAGACAUUUUUCUUCGGGGGAUACGAAACUAACUCGAAUCUAUUGACAUGGACCACCAUGUUGCUGAGCUUGCACCAAGACUGGCAGGAGAAGCUAAGACACGAAAUCUUCGAAGAGUGCGGUAAAGACAAGACGCCAGAUUCAGACACUUUCUCCAAACUCAAACUGUUAAUAAAAUGUUUACUUGUGGUUCAAGUAAAGGUUUUCCUUGUGGUUGAAGAAACUUAUUUAUCUCUUGUAGAUGAACAUGGUGUUCUUGGAGUCGCUUCGCCUGUACGGACCAGUAUCAUAUUUCUCCAGAGAUGCAACAAAGGAUCUGACGCUAGGGCACCUAAAGAUCCCCAAGGGCACAACGAUAGUUUUCCCUCUUAUGAAGAUGCACAGCGACAAGGCCGUUUGGGGAUCAGACGCUGAUAAGUUCAACCCGCUGCGAUUUGAAAACGGCGUUUCCAGAGCCGCUAGUCACCCAAACGCUCUCCUCGCGUUCUCAAUGGGACCAAGAGCUUGCAUUGGCCAAAACUUUACAAUGAUUGAAGCCAAGGUCGUGCUCACCAUGAUCCUUCAACGGUUCAGGCUUAGCCUCUCAGGCGAGUAUAAACACGCGCCGGUGGAUCACCUCACUCUAACUCCUCAGUACGGCUUACCCGUAAUGCUUCAGCCUCUGUGAGCCUUUAUGAGCCAAAGAGUUAUCAAAUCCUAUAUCGUGCUUUAAGCCGGUUUAAAUAAAUAGUGAUGUGUGCU